RNAcentral lists this ribosomal RNA (496 nucleotides) under uncultured bacterium. RNAcentral describes it as "partial 16S ribosomal RNA". It matches the Rfam family "Bacterial small subunit ribosomal RNA", at positions 27 to 507 of the family's 1533-position model. The record is from RNAcentral.
GGACGAACGCUGGCGGCGUGCCUAAUACAUGCAAGUAGAACGCUGAAGGAGGAGCUUGCUUCUCUGGAUGAGUUGCGAACGGGUGAGUAACGCGUAGGUAACCUGCCUGGUAGCGGGGGAUAACUAUUGGAAACGAUAGCUAAUACCGCAUAAUAGUAGAUGUUGCAUGACAUUUGCUUAAAAGGUGCAAUUGCAUCACUACCAGAUGGACCUGCGUUGUAUUAGCUAGUUGGUGAGGUAACGGCUCACCAAGGCAACGAUACAUAGCCGACCUGAGAGGGUGAUCGGCCACACUGGGACUGAGACACGGCCCAGACUCCUACGGGAGGCAGCAGUAGGGAAUCUUCGGCAAUGGACGGAAGUCUGACCGAGCAACGCCGCGUGAGUGAAGAAGGUUUUCGGAUCGUAAAGCUCUGUUGUAAGAGAAGAACGAGUGUGAGAGUGGAAAGUUCACACUGUGACGGUAUCUUACCAGAAAGGGACGGCUAACUACGUG